This 309-nucleotide ribosomal RNA is filed under the name uncultured bacterium. Its description in RNAcentral is "partial 16S ribosomal RNA". It matches the Rfam family "Bacterial small subunit ribosomal RNA", at positions 355 to 656 of the family's 1533-position model. The record is from RNAcentral.
UAGGGAAUCUUCCACAAUGGACGCAAGUCUGAUGGAGCAACGCCGCGUGAGUGAAGAAGGCUUUCGGGUCGUAAAACUCUGUUAUUGAAGAAGAACGUGCGUGACAGUAACUGGUCAUGCAGUGACGGUAUUCAAUCAGAAAGUCACGGCUAACUACGUGCCAGCAGCCGCGGUAAUACGUAGGUGGCAAGCGUUGUCCGGAUUUAUUGGGCGUAAAGCGAGUGCAGGCGGUCUUUUAAGUCUGAUGUGAAAGCCUUCGGCUUAACCGAAGAAGGGCAUCGGAAACUGGGAGACUUGAGUGCAGAAGAG